GCCGUCUUAGUGUAGUGGUAGCACCUCUCGGUAGUACCGAGAAGUCGCGGGUUCGAUUCUCGCGGGCGGCU
RNAcentral lists this transfer RNA (71 nucleotides) under Methanocorpusculum sp. Its description in RNAcentral is "tRNA-Thr". It matches the Rfam family "tRNA". Rfam says of the family: Transfer RNA (tRNA) molecules are approximately 80 nucleotides in length. Their secondary structure includes four short double-helical elements and three loops (D, anti-codon, and T loops). RNAcentral also lists the same sequence under 1 other name. Lineage: Archaea; Methanobacteriati; Methanobacteriota; Methanomicrobia; Methanomicrobiales; Methanocorpusculaceae. The record is from RNAcentral.